CCUACGGGUGGCAGCAGUAGGGAAUAUUUCUCAAUGGGGGAAACCCUGAAGCAGCAACGCCGCGUGGAGGAUGAAGGUUUUCGGAUGGUAAACUCCUCUUGUUAGAGAAGAUAAUGACGGUCUCUAACGAAUAAGCACCGGCUAACUCCGGGCCAGCAGCCGCGGUAAUACGUAGGGUGCAAGCGUUCCUUGGAAUUACUGGGCGUAAAGAGCGCGUAGGCGGGAUAGCAAGUCAGAUGUGAAAUCCUAUGGCUUAACCAUAGAACUGCAUUUGAAACUGUUAUUCUAGAGUAUGGGAGAGGUAGGUGGAAUUCUUGGUGUAGGGGUAAAAUGCGUAGAGAUCAAGAGGAAUACUCAUUGCGAAGGCGACCUGCUAGAACAUAACUGACGCUGAGGCGCGAAAGCGUGGGGAGCAAACAGGAUUAGAUACCCUAGUAGUC
Molecule: ribosomal RNA, 440 nt
Filed under: uncultured bacterium
Lineage: Bacteria
Description: partial 16S ribosomal RNA
Rfam family: Bacterial small subunit ribosomal RNA
Source: RNAcentral